Molecule: ribosomal RNA, 439 nt
Filed under: Bacillus pumilus
Lineage: Bacteria; Bacillati; Bacillota; Bacilli; Caryophanales; Bacillaceae
Description: bacterial SSU rRNA
Rfam family: Bacterial small subunit ribosomal RNA
Source: RNAcentral
CGAAGAACCUUACCAGGUCUUGACAUCCUCUGACAACCCUAGAGAUAGGGCUUUCCCUUCGGGGACAGAGUGACAGGUGGUGCAUGGUUGUCGUCAGCUCGUGUCGUGAGAUGUUGGGUUAAGUCCCGCAACGAGCGCAACCCUUGAUCUUAGUUGCCAGCAUUCAGUUGGGCACUCUAAGGUGACUGCCGGUGACAAACCGGAGAAAGGUGGGGAUGACGUCAAAUCAUCAUGCCCCUUAUGACCUGGGCUACACACGUGCUACAAUGGACAGAACAAAGGGCUGCAAGACCGCAAGGUUUAGCCAAUCCCAUAAAUCUGUUCUCAGUUCGGAUCGCAGUCUGCAACUCGACUGCGUGAAGCUGGAAUCGCUAGUAAUCGCGGAUCAGCAUGCCGCGGUGAAUACGUUCCCGGGCCUUGUACACACCGCCCGUCACAC